This 201-nucleotide transfer-messenger RNA is filed under the name Bacillus mycoides. RNAcentral describes it as "partial transfer-messenger RNA". It matches the Rfam family "transfer-messenger RNA", at positions 170 to 374 of the family's 374-position model. Rfam says of the family: Bacterial tmRNA, also known as 10Sa RNA or SsrA, is named for its dual tRNA and mRNA-like properties. Its role is to liberate the mRNA from a stalled ribosome. To accomplish this part of the tmRNA is used as a reading frame that ends in a translation stop signal. Lineage: Bacteria; Bacillati; Bacillota; Bacilli; Caryophanales; Bacillaceae. The record is from RNAcentral.
UGGUAGGGUAAGGGACUCAAACUAAGUGGACUACGCCGGAGUUCGCCGUCUGAGGGCGAAGGAAGAGAACAAUCAGACUAGCAACUUGGAAGCCUGUCGAUAGGCUGAAGAGUUCGCGAAAUGCUAAUAUAUCGACUACACUCGUAGAAGCUUAAGUGCCGAUAUUUUUGGACGUGGGUUCGACUCCCACCGUCUCCACCA